GCUCUCUCCUGCAGCCGAGAGAGGAACCAGUUCCUUCUUUAUAACCCCGGCCCUCCCUCCCUCCCUCUUAGGCUCCCGCUCUCGCUCCCGCCUCUGUCCCUCCCCCCUCCCCCGAAGCCACGGGGCGGCCGAGAGCGCAGAGCGCCAAGUAGAGGGAGGGAAGGAGGGAGGAAGGGGCGCGGGCCCCCGGCUCCCGGCCCAGCUGCCUUGGUGCCUGCAUUCCCAUCUCCUCCAACUAGCCCCGAGGAGCAGGGAGCCGGCUGGCAGAGCUGGGGCAGGUGCAGACCUAACUUCAGUACUCGACAUGCUCCAGUUUCCUUCCUCUGCUUUCUGCUAUCACCAGUUUGAGUUUCAUUCCAUCUUUCUGAGGAGAGGAGGCCAGAACCAGGUUGGAGAGGGACAGUGGUUUGAUCUUUCUGGAACCAGUGGGAGGGCCACUCCCCACUCCUGUCUGCUCACCCAUCUCUCUGGGGCAAGGUUGGAGGCUCUCUAGAUGAACUUUUACUCAAAAAGGAAGAGAAAUCACAUCGGCAGAGGCAAACACAUGGCACAGACAUUGAAGGAUUGAAGGAGACGAUUACAGAAUCUGGACUUUUACCUCAACUUUCAUUGAUGCCCACAUCUUGUGGCAGGGCAAGGAUUGCUGUCCCCAUUCUACAGAUGAGAAAACUGAGGCCUGGAGAGAGGAGUUCCUUGCCAGGGUCAAGAAACUUGCCGGUGGUGGUAGCUGACUCUCGAGCCUUCAUUCAGCCCGUUUUGCUCCGCCUCGCUUAGCCUUCUGAGGAGACCGCUCAGCCCUGGGGCCCGUGGACAGGUACCUCAAUCCGGACGGAUUAUACCUCAGCCCUCGCAGAAAAGUAGUUCCAAUACCAUGUUUGUUAACUAGGUUAUCUAGGCUGUGGAAGAUUUUAAUGUUGAAUUUUAUAGCUUUACCACGCUCUGCCGUCCUUGUGAAUAUUGUAAUAUUGCAUUUUUUACAAGUUACUCUUCUGUUAAUGUUCCAGCUAGUAACUUUUAUAAUCCUCCUCAAUGAAAUUUUUUUGUAUUCUUCCGCACCGUUAACCCCGAUGGCGGCGCCUCGGCCCCUGGCAGGAGGCAGAGACGAGAUGAAUUCCUCUUUAAUCAGAAAUAAUAAUAAUAAAAACACACGCAGCUCCGC
Antechinus flavipes (yellow-footed antechinus) is the source of this 1159-nucleotide long non-coding RNA. RefSeq lists it as uncharacterized. The transcript is spliced from 4 exons. The record is from RefSeq and is a predicted model, not a curated record. NCBI's taxonomy places the organism in Eukaryota, Metazoa, Chordata, Mammalia, Dasyuromorphia, Dasyuridae.